UACGUAGGGGGCGAGCGUUGUUCGGAUUUACUGGGCGUAAAGAGCGCGUAGGCGGUUCGUUCAGUCGGAGGUGAAAGCCCUCGGCUCAACCGAGGAGUCGCGUCCGAGACGGGCGAACUUGAGUGCAGGAGAGGAGAGCGGAAUUCCCAGUGUAGCGGUGAAAUGCGUAGAUACUGGGAGGAACACCGGUGGCGAAGGCGGCUCUCUGGACUGCCACUGACGCUGAGGCGCGAAAGCUAGGGGAGCAAACGGG
This 253-nucleotide ribosomal RNA is filed under the name uncultured bacterium. Its description in RNAcentral is "partial 16S ribosomal RNA". It matches the Rfam family "Bacterial small subunit ribosomal RNA", at positions 524 to 776 of the family's 1533-position model. The record is from RNAcentral.